Molecule: small RNA, 29 nt
Filed under: Bombyx mori (domestic silkworm)
Lineage: Eukaryota; Metazoa; Arthropoda; Insecta; Lepidoptera; Bombycidae
Description: ovarian small RNA-32365
Source: RNAcentral
UGAUAAUCUUGAGGGUAAAUGUUGCCGGA